GCAUACCUAUGUGUUAUUAUAUAUACUGAAAAACAGUUUUUGUCAAAUUUAAUUCUGGAUACUACUGUAAUCAGUUGUAGUAUAUAAACAUAUUCGUCAUAACAUUUUGCAUUUAGCAAUGUGAAAGAAAAACUGCAAUUAUGUAUAUUUCCUUUUUACUACCCUUAUGUGCAAUGUCAAGAACUCGUAAUUUGCAAAAGCAUAUCUUAAUACAGGCCACAGCCAGCAACAACAAAGGAAGGGUAUAUCUUCAAUUUCUUUAUCUCUAAUUAUAGUUUCAAGAAUAUAUUUUCUUCAUACAGUAUUCUCCAUUAAUAAACUCCAUGGGUUUCACCAGAGAUAUCUCUUUCAGGUCAAUUUCAGAAUCAAA
Non-coding RNA from Pelobates cultripes (western spadefoot toad), 370 nucleotides. NCBI's taxonomy places the organism in Eukaryota, Metazoa, Chordata, Amphibia, Anura, Pelobatidae. The record is from the annotation of a GenBank genome assembly.